Molecule: ribosomal RNA, 459 nt
Filed under: uncultured bacterium
Lineage: Bacteria
Description: bacterial SSU rRNA
Rfam family: Bacterial small subunit ribosomal RNA
Source: RNAcentral
UACGGGAGGCAGCAGUGGGGAAUAUUGCACAAUGGGCGAAAGCCUGAUGCAGCUAUGCCGCGUGUAUGAAGAAGGCCUUAGGGUUGUAAAGUACUUUCAUCGGGGAGGAAAAAACAAAACUAAUAAUUUUAUUUCUUGACGUUACCCGAAAAAGAAGCACCGGCUAACUCCGUGCCAGCAGCCGCGGUAAUACGGAGGGUGCUAGCGUUAAUCAGAAUUACUGGGCGUAAAGAGCACGUAGGUGGUUUUUUUAAGUCAGAUGUGAAAUCCCUGGGCUUAACCUAGGAACUGCAUUUUGAAACUGAAAUACUAGAGUAUCGUAGAGGGAGGUAGAAUUCUAGGUGUAGCGGUGAAAUGCGUAGAUAUCUGGAGGAAUACCUGUGGCGAAAGCGGCCUCCUAAACGAAUACUGACACUGAGGGUGCGAAAGCGUGGGGAGCAAAACAGGGAUUAAGAUACC